CUUCACGGAACCCAGCAGCAGCGGGGUCUCCCGGUCGCGGCCGUACGUCGCCAGCAGCGCCUGUGCCUC
This 69-nucleotide non-coding RNA is filed under the name Streptomyces mutabilis. Lineage: Bacteria; Bacillati; Actinomycetota; Actinomycetes; Kitasatosporales; Streptomycetaceae. The record is from RNAcentral.